RNAcentral lists this non-coding RNA (120 nucleotides) under Nomascus leucogenys (northern white-cheeked gibbon). The record is from Rfam by way of RNAcentral. Lineage: Eukaryota; Metazoa; Chordata; Mammalia; Primates; Hylobatidae.
GCCGGGCGCAGUGGCUCAUGCCUGUAAUCCCAGCACUGUGGGAGGCUGAGGUGGGCGGAUCACCUGAGGUCAGGAGUUCUUCAAGACCAGCCUGGCCAACAUGGUGAUACCCCAUCUCUA